CUCCGGUGAUCCCCGCCGGACCCGACUGCUAUCAGAGUGGGACUAAGCCAUGCGAGUCAACGUAGCAAUACGUGGCAUACGGCUCAGUAACACGUAGUCAACAUGCCCAGGGGACGAGGAUAACCUCGGGAAACUGAGGAUAAACCUCGAUAGGCCAUGAUUUCUGGAAUGAUUCUUGGCUCAAACCUAUAUGGCCCCUGGAUUGGACUGCGGCCGAUCAGGCUGUUGGUGAGGUAAUGGCCCACCAAACCUAUUACCGGUACGGGCUCUGAGAGGAGGAGCCCGGAGAUGGGCACUGAGACAAGGGCCCAGGCCCUAUGGGGCGCAGCAGGCGCGAAACCUCUGCAAUAGGCGAAAGCUUGACAGGGUUACUCUGAGUGAUUUCCGUUAAGGAGAUCUUUUGGCACCUCUAAAAAUGGUGCAGAAUAAGGGGUGGGCAAGUCUGGUGUCAGCCGCCGCGGUAAUACCAGCACCCCGAGUGGUCGGGACGUUUAUUGGGCCUAAAGCAUCCGUAGCCGGUUCUACAAGUCUUCCGUUAAAUCCACCUGCUUAACAGAUGGGCUGCGGAAGAUACUACAGGACUAGGAGGCGGGAGAGGCAAGCGGUACUCGAUGGGUAGGGGUAAAAUCCGUUGAUCCAUUGAAGACCACCAGUGGCGAAGGCGGCUUGCCAGAACGCGCUCGACGGUGAGGGAUGAAAGCUGGGGGAGCAAACCGGAUUAGAUACCCGGGUAGUCCCAGCUGUAAACGAUGCAGACUCGGUGAUGAGUUGGCUUAUUGCUAACUCAGUGCCGCAGGGAAGCCGUUAAGUUUGCCGCCUGGGGAGUACGGUCGCAAGACUGAAACUUAAAGGAAUUGGCGGGGGAGCA
RNAcentral lists this ribosomal RNA (868 nucleotides) under uncultured archaeon. RNAcentral describes it as "bacterial SSU rRNA". It matches the Rfam family "Archaeal small subunit ribosomal RNA", at positions 1 to 878 of the family's 1478-position model. The record is from RNAcentral.